Molecule: small nuclear RNA, 179 nt
Filed under: Eptatretus burgeri (inshore hagfish)
Lineage: Eukaryota; Metazoa; Chordata; Myxini; Myxiniformes; Myxinidae
Description: U2 spliceosomal RNA (ENSEBUG00000000195.1)
Rfam family: U2 spliceosomal RNA
About the family: U2 is a small nuclear RNA (snRNA) component of the spliceosome (involved in pre-mRNA splicing).
Source: Rfam by way of RNAcentral
AUUUAUUUUGAUAUUUUUUAAUAAAUCCCUUUUUAUUACUUUAAUAUCUGAUAUGUCCUGCAAUGCGGGACUAGUCUAUUGAAUGGAUUUUUGGGAUCGGGAGUUGGAUUCGGGGCUUGCUCCGUCCGCUCCAUGCAUCGAACCGGAAUUGCAGUACCUCCGAGAACGGUGCACCCCCU